Molecule: long non-coding RNA, 726 nt
Organism: Carya illinoinensis
Lineage: Eukaryota; Viridiplantae; Streptophyta; Magnoliopsida; Fagales; Juglandaceae
Exons: 2
Source: RefSeq, a predicted model, not a curated record
GCUAGUCUUGCUGCCAUCUGGCAAGACUAGCAAUUGUGCACUAAUUGAUACAAGCGAUCUUACGUAUCAAUUGUGCACUAAUUGCAGACAUGGCUUUUUAUAUUUUUUUAUUAAAAAAAGAACGGAAAAAGAACAGACGAAAUCGAUUUCACGAAAGAGUUUUGGCCCCAUACGAAUUCGCAGAGGAGUUUUCGCCCCAACCAUUUUCAUCCAAAAUAUGAAUUUGAUGAGGAGAAAGCUCUAAACUUCAUCUCUUUCUGCUACCUCAAACUAUUAUUUGUGCUCUUCUAUUGCCACCCAGAUAUAUGCGGAGCAAGAUCACCUCUUUGUGCUCUUCUACUGCCAACCCACAAAGGAGCCCCAAUCAAUCUACGAAUUCAUUAUCAAGAGAGGGAGAAGCCGCCAUGGCAGCUCGCAAGAGAGCUUUAGCAUACGCAUCCACCACAUAACACAAAUCUCAAGACCCUACUCCAACGGAGCCUCCAACUACACCAAUAAUUUCAAAGUCGGGCUUCAGAAGGCUUCAUUCUGAAGCUUUCCCUCUUACUUUUGAGCCCAUACUUGUACCUCAUCUUCCACCCCUACAAGAUCGACAAGGACCUCAAGAAGUCAAUUGUCCUCAUGUAGAUGGAUGGGGGAGAAGAAGAAAGUUUUAGGUGUUAGUUAACCCAACCCAAUUCAACUCAUCACUUCAAACAUAAAAUAUAAUAAAGAAUUCAAUUUUUU